Syngnathoides biaculeatus (alligator pipefish) is the source of this 369-nucleotide long non-coding RNA. RefSeq lists it as uncharacterized. The transcript is spliced from 4 exons. NCBI's taxonomy places the organism in Eukaryota, Metazoa, Chordata, Actinopteri, Syngnathiformes, Syngnathidae. The record is from RefSeq and is a predicted model, not a curated record.
UCAUCUUUCUCUAACAUAGUACAGGAGGGUCUAGGAGAUGAAGAUUCCGGGUCAGGAGCAGGAUUUAGACUGGCUAAGGAAAAAGCAAAAGCCAGACUCUUUGAACUUCCAUCUGUCCAAGAUGGUGAAUUUUACCAAGUUCCAAAGUUUGAAAAUCCUCCAGGAUCAGAUCAACACAAAGGGCACGUGACACCAGAUUGGAUCAUCAUUAUGGGUUUUGUUGUUGGCGUUGCAGCUCUGGUGAUGCUUUGUGCUGCUAUCGCUACCAGAGACAAGUGGAAUGCGCCGAGACAAGCAUCAAGUCCAGAAACCGAAGUUGACUCCUCACAGGGGCAGAAACCAGAAAAUGAAGCCUUCCUUCAAAAAGAC